AUGCCCCUCAUCGACAAGCUACUACGCAAGCUCGCCACUUGGAAGGCCGCGCUUCUCUCAUGCGACGAACGCCUGGCCCUGAUCCGGCAGGUGUUGUCUGCUAUGCCCGUGCAUAUCCUCCUCGCCAUGGCGCUCUCUCCACCAAUCCUCAAGAAGGCCAAUCGAAUCAUCAGAGAUUUUCUUUGGCAUGGCCGAAAGGACGCUCGCGUAGGCUCUUGCCUUGUCAGUUGGGCGCGUGUUUGUCGCCAGCUGGAGCUUGGUGGCCUUAGCAUCUGAGACCUCCACCGCGUUGGGAUCUCCCUCCGAGUUCGAUGGCUAUGGCUGCAGGCCACUGAUCGGGCGCGCCCUUGGGCUCAUCUUCCGCUACCUCCCGAUCCAGAGGUGUUGCAGUUCUUCCGGGCAUCUACGACUUGGACCGUGGGCGACGGCACCUCCUGCAAAUUUUGA
This 447-nucleotide ribosomal RNA is filed under the name Triticum aestivum (bread wheat). Its description in RNAcentral is "partial small subunit ribosomal RNA". Lineage: Eukaryota; Viridiplantae; Streptophyta; Magnoliopsida; Poales; Poaceae. The record is from RNAcentral.